UCUCAUUGCUCUCUAGUCCUUUGUCUCCAUCCCUCUUUCUCUUAAGAAAAAAAUGGCUGAGCUUGUUAGGCUGGAAAUCAAACGUCCCCACCAGCUGAACACAUCAGAAGGGACCUUUGCUUUCACAUCUGGCUCUUUUUAUCCUAUAACACAGGCUUCCUACAGAGAGGAAGGGCCAGGAGGGGAGCCGGUGGGUGUGGGUGAUAAAAAUCAAUGCAAGCCCUGUCGUUAUCUGGCCUGGUAAGGGGACUGGAGGGGUGACUAGGGCAACGACAGGGACACGAGGGUGCUCUGAUGAGGGUCAGGCAGGGCCCUCCCAACAGGCACCACCGCGCAGGAGGCGAACCUUCUGUUAAAAGCCAGGUGUCCGGAGAUGGGGGCGGGAAUGGAGUCUGCCGACGACGGGGGAUGCUUUCCUGUGGUCAGGAAGGGGCGCCAAGCCUCUGGGGCGUGAAGGAUGGGCAUAGACCCAAACUAGACUCGUGCCGUUUCACCCGGUUCUCCAGCAGCCCCCAGAGGGUGUCGCCCCUCUGAUAACUAACUUAGGAGGUUCCCCACAGUCAUGCAGGCCAGCACUGGCUACACCGUGCUGAAAAGAGCUAGGCUGCCCUGCCCUGCUCUCUCUGGUGUCUUCCAGAGUCGGGGAAGUCGGCUUGUGAGUCGGAGAUAAGAUGACCAUAGUCUGUGAGGGUGCAGCCUGGUCAGACCCAGAAUGGGAACCCUAUGGGGAGGGGAGCAGGGGGCGUGGGCCCAUUGAAGGACCCCACCUCCCCAGCGGGCCUUUCCCGUGCUGUGUGCACAAGGAGGGAGACAAGGCAGAGUGCUGGUGAACCUGGGUCUCCCCUCCCCUGCCAGACACUCCCUCUGCACUCCCGCCUCUGCAUGCUGCCUGCGGGUGGCAAGGGAAGAGGCCAAGACACGGGCAUCUUCCGAGCUUUCCCGAGUGCGCAUGCCAGGUGAGCCCCAUGAACUCUCUGCUACGUAACAGAACAACCCAUCCCCACUCACAGGCUCUCAGAGGCAACUGCCGAGGAUCAUGUAGCUCAGAAGUCUCGGAGCAGCCUGGUCCCUUUCACAGAGCCCCCAGGAGCUAACUCAUUAGUUCUCUCCCUUCCCGCCCGCCCUCUCUCACCUCUCUUCCUCAUGCCCCCCUUCCAGGGUGAGAGGGUUCAUCACCCACCCACUCACCCACUCAGCUCUAAGAAUGACUGGGAGCAGCUAAGAGUGAGUCAGAGCUCUGCUGGGCACUGCUGCGGAGGGAGGCAACAGAUGGCAGCGGGGGGCCAUAUUGCUGCCCAAGCCACCCCCUCAGCACCCCACAGCCCCCAGAGGUGGCAUUUGUGAUGUUAGCAGCGGGUCCGUUUCGGGGCCCCUCUGCCAGUCUCAGGCUUGCGGACAGCAUCAGGCUCAGGCAGCAAGCUGUGAAUGGGGAAGGUGGGGCAGUCUGAGCACGGGGUAAACCAGGAGUUCAGGUCUUCGGGACAAAUGCUGACCUCCCAGUCUUCCAGCAGGCAGCGGCCAGCAGGGCGCCCCACCCCAUGACCUCUGCCCCUGUCACUUCUCUAAUUCCCACUGCCCACCUGAAAGCUCUGAAAACCUUGGGAAUUGGAGAUCCGGGUCUGGCAUGGACCUGUGCCCCCUGGCUGUUUUCAUUCCAUCUGUAUGGAGAGUUUGGACCACCGUCCAGCUCAGAGGUAGGCAGAGGCCUGCUCCAAGUGGGGGAGCCUCAUCCAGGAGCACUGUCGCUACUCAUCUGAGGAUGAUAGAUAACAUGUCUCUAAGAGACUUUCAGAGUGGGCACAGAGCAGGCCAGGGUGACAAAUGGAAUCCCCAGCUCCUGAACUCAAGGGAAACCUCCCCACUGUCCAUCAUGCUCAGGGAGUCAGGUCAGGUCCCUCUGGGGUUAGGGCUGGGGGGAGGAGAGGUACUAGCUGACCUGCCACAGUGGUUGCCAUGGGAACCACUUCCCAGUUCUUGCUCCAUGUGACUGGCUAUUGUGAUGAGCCAGGCCUGAGUGAGAACCGAGAAGGGGCUGAGGCGGUCUUUUGCCCUAAGAAAGAUGAUACCCAGGAAAGAGAUGGGAAAAGACAUUUUCAGACUCUGCAUCCUGGCUGCCUUGCAAAUUCAAGGUCAGGGAGGGUCGGUCCCGCCCUAGCACUGAGAACUCAGCACUCCACUUAGGAUGGAAUUGGGAGGGUCCUGUGGAGAAUGUGACUUUAAACGUGUCAGUCAGAAGAGGGAGGUCAGGGAAGGGGUGCUGGCACUAUGGGAGACAGAAGCAAAGGGCAAGGAUGGGGUUGCCUGUGGCUACAUGAAAGGAGCAUUCAAAAGUGGCUUCUCUGAGGGGCGUUCGUUUGCUUGGCGGUGUCUUGUUCUCAGGUCAAGGAGACCCACACACUCUGAAGACCAUCCAAGUCUCAUGACUGUCUUCUUAUUGGUCAGCACCGAGUCAGCCAGAGAUAAGGCCGUGUCCUUCCUGGGACCCUUUCCUCUCUGUUCUCUUUAAAGAGUUAAGUCUCCCAGGCCUUGAUCUUCAGGUCGGAAGCUAGGAUGAAAUCUGUCUACAGUGGCCCCGCCCGCCAUGAGCAUCUGCAGGACCACACAAUUGCGACUGGGAUGUUGUAAUCUGAUGAGAAAUAGGAAUUGUGUCUUUGGCUCCUGAGACUGUUGCCAUUUCCCGUGCAGCUUCAGAGCUGGGGGCAUCUUUUGUCCUGGUGGUGGCUUUCCACUUCCAGCUCUGCACACGGGAUUCUGAUCCCCUCCCCCGAGUUCCCUGGAUAAUGGAAGUUAAGAAGUGACUCGUGGUGGGCUCCUGUACAGCUUCAGUAGAAGCUGGUUACCAGCAGGACCGAGCCAUGUUUGGAAGCUUGGGACUUUUCCAGAAAAGGGAGUAGCCAGACAUGAAGUUAGCGGUCCCUCUUGCCCGUGUGGAACAGCUUCUAGACAGAUUCUUGGGCAGCAGGGCUUGAAAGCUCCUGGACUGAUGAAUACAUAGAGGGCCUAGAAAGGGGGUACAUGGGGGGGUUCAUGCCCUUCUUCGCCAUGCCCUGAGUAUCCUUUCCAUCAGCUUCUUCAUCUACAACUUUUCAAAUGUGUGCACUAUACCAGUGGGCACAGGGGCAAUGAUUCCCCUGGGAGCAAUCUAACAAAUGAAUUCAACUCGAGGUGAGUCCUUUGAUGACCUCAAGUAAAGCCACUGGGCCAGGAGCACAGGGAAGGGCCAGGGGCUUCCUGGGGGGGGGCACCUGAGUCUGGGGGAGGCAGCCUUGGGAGGCUGAGCCCUUAACUUUCAAGAGCAAGCCCUUUCUUUAGAGAGAUGUGUCAGAAAUGGACUGGGUUAAAGACACACCCUUGGUGGUGUGGUUGGAAUACAACUGGCAGUCAUUGACUUGAGUGCUAAAUGUUUGGUCCCAUCUGGUAGUGCUGUUUGGAGAAGUUGUGGAAACUUCAGGAGGUAAGACCUGCCCAGAGGAAUGAGCUUUCCUCCCUCUCUUCUGUUUGUCCACUGUGAGGUGAGAACCCUCUCUCUACAUGCUCCUCCUACCACGACGACCUGGCCAAGUGAACAGAGCCAAGCAGCCACUGUGGACUAUGAGCCUGGAACUUUGAGCCAAGAUGGAUCUCUUCGUAUGUUGUUUCUGUCCAGGAUUUGCUCUCAAAGAUGCAAAAGUGAUAAAGUUGGCGUCUCUUGGAGUCCUGGCUGUUACUGCGAAGAAGGAUCUACGGUUAGCUCUGCCAGUGAAGAGCAAAAGCUAUUGGUCUUUCUGUCUCUUACAACAGUCAUUGCAGAGAUGAAGACAUGCCGGAGUACAAGUGGCUGGGUACCUGAGGGUGCUUUGUACAACCGGACCAGGGUGUGAAAGCAAAUCCCCUAGAACAGCCCAAGGUGGCAGAGUGGCAUUGGACCCUCAGUGUGAUGUUUAGUGUUCAUUGUCAAUGUGACAGGACCUAAAACCACCUGGGACCUGGGCCUCUGGGCACGCCUGUGGCAGGUUGUCUCGACUAUGUUGACUGACGUGGGAGUCCCAUCUUAACCGUGGGCAGGUCCUGGCUGGGGACCUGGACUGUAGGAUGGGGAAAGGCAGCCUGUGUUUAUCUCGCUCCUCCCUGGGCGGAUAGGAUGGGACUGGCUUUCAAGCUCCUGCUGCCUCGAUUUCCCUGUCUUGAUGGACUGUACCCUGAACUACGAUCUAAAAGAAAUGAUUUCUCCCUUAAUGCUUUUGCCGGGGUGUUUAAUGACAGCAGCAAGAAAAGACACAAAGACACUGGGUGUCUGGGGUCACAAAGCACCUAAGGGCUGCAGGCCCGGAAGUCUGAAAUUUCAAGAGAAGCUAAGCAUCUUGACUUUGGACGUGACACUGGUUUUCUGAGACAGGGUCUGUUUCCAAGCCUGGCUCAAAUGCACUCUAUAUUCAGGAUAGCCUUUAAUGUCUGAUCUUCCUGCCUUCCCCUCCUAAGAGCUGGGACCAUAGGUGUGUGCCAUCGUACCCACUUUAUGCAGUGUUGGGGGUGGAACCCAGGGCUUACGCAUGUCAAGCAAGUUUUCUCCCACAUGUGCAGCCUGUGUGUGAGACACGCCCUUGGUUUCUGCCUCUAAUGCCGGUGAGCUUAAUGAAAGUCUGAGGUUUCUGGCCCACAGGCCUCCUGUUUACACAACCUAUAAUAUAAAUUAAAUGAGCCUGUAAUAUAAUAUAAAUGAAAAGUUCUCAGACUGCCCUGGAGCCAUGGAUGCUUUGAAAAUGCAAUGAAGGCAUCCACGAAGUGUGAGAAGAUAUUCGCAAUUCAUAGAAUUGUGGACAAUUGAUUUCUAGAACAUACUUUUGAGAAACAACAACAAAAACACAAUAUGAAUCAACAAACUUUAAAAACCACCCAACAACUUGGCAGAAUAGCAAGUAGUUGACUUGUCCCUCUACAGAAAGGAGGCCCCCUAGGCCAAGAAACAGACAAAGGGCUCUGUCUCACUAGUCACAGAAAACAGGCAGAGUGACGAUGCCAUUGCUGAUCCUCAUCACAUCACAGUGGCCAAAAGGAAGACCCCUAACCAGAGUGACGCAGCUGAGAGGAUGUGGGCACUCCCCAGUUCUCGUGCUGUCCUGGGGUUCUGCACAUAGGUAAGAACAUUCUGGGGAAAAAUGGUUUGAUUGUUAAUAGUAUCUUUACUAUUUAAGCCUUAAGGGAUAACGAGUUGGCAUGGAGGCACUAAAACUUUGUUGUUUACGUUUAUCUGGUAAAACUGGGUGUGCACGUGCCCUGUGAUCUCAGGACCCAGGCUGGAUGUGCAUGUGUUCUAUGAUCUCAGGACGCAGGCUGGAUGUGCAUGUGCCCUGUGAUCUCAGGACCCAGGCUGGAUGUGUAUGUGCCCUGUGAUCUGAGGUCCCAGGCUGAAUGUGCAUGUGUCCUAUGAUCUCAGGACCCAGGCUGGAUGUGCAUGUGUCCUAUGAUCUCAGGACCCAGGCUGGAUGUGCAUGUGCCCUGUGAUCUCAGGACCCAGGCUGGAUGUGCAUGUGCCCUGUGAUCUCAGGACCCAGGCUGGAUGAGCAUGUGCUCUGUGAUCGCAGGUCCCACACUCAGUCAUCUUCCUUAGAGAACUCUUGUUCGGACAGCCAAGCAGUGUGAAUGCACAGAGGCCAGGCGCUAUGGCUGUAUAAACUUUAUACGUAUAGUUAUAGUUAUAUAUAGCCUCAUGAUGGAAGGCUUGUGAGCCAAGAAAAAGAAGAGCCCCAGGCUCCGCUGUCUCCCCCGAAGGAGCUGUGUUUGGAGUGCAAAGCCACGGGGUGGGGAGAGGGCAGGGUGGUUCAGAAGCAAGUGAGACUGAGCAGUGUGUUGUUUUGGAAGAGAUUGAUAGGUGGGAGAAUCAUCUAGAAAGCAAUAAAGGAGCUAGAAGGGUUGGCUCAGCUGCUAAAGGCACUUGCUCUUCCAGGAGACCAGAGUUAAGUUCCCAGCACCAUGUUGGGAGGCUCACUAUAGCCUGUAACUCCAGCUCUAGGGACUCCUGUGUUCUUCUGGUCUCCAUGGGCACCCACAUGCUCGUGACCUUUAAGGCAUAUCUUUCACUCCUCAGCUGUUAGCCACCCACCUUGUCUUUUGAGACGCUGGCCUGUAAAUUACCAACUCAGCUUGACUGUCUAGCCAGAAAGCCUUAUGGAUCUCCCACCUCCAUCUCCCAGCACUGGAUUGCAUGCCACCACAUCCAGCUUUUUAAUGUAUGCUCUGUGGAUGGAACUCAGGUCUUCAUGCAUGCCAGGUAAAUAUUUCAUAGAUGAGCCAAUCCUCCAUUCCAUUUCAUUAUUCUUUACACAACCCACAGGCCUUAGGUAUGAGCCUCUGUCUGUAUUUACAACAAAGGAAACACAAAACAAUCUAAUCCCAGGCUGGAGAGAUGGCUCUGAGGGGAAGAGCACUGGCUGCUCUUCCAGACAACCUAGUAGUUUAAUAGUGGCUGACCUUUUCUAACUCCGUCUCCAGUUCCAGGGGAUCUGAAGCCCUCUUCUGGCCUCUUUGGGUACUUCAUGCAUGUGCAGACAAAACAUCUACACACAAGAUUAAAAAAAAGAAAAAUAAAAU
Peromyscus maniculatus bairdii (prairie deer mouse) is the source of this 6567-nucleotide long non-coding RNA. RefSeq lists it as uncharacterized. The record is from RefSeq and is a predicted model, not a curated record. NCBI's taxonomy places the organism in Eukaryota, Metazoa, Chordata, Mammalia, Rodentia, Cricetidae.